Molecule: ribosomal RNA, 301 nt
Filed under: uncultured bacterium
Lineage: Bacteria
Description: partial 16S ribosomal RNA
Rfam family: Bacterial small subunit ribosomal RNA
Source: RNAcentral
CAGUCGCCGCGGGAAUACGAAGGGGGCUAGCGUUGCUCGGAAUGACUGGGCGUAAAGGGCGCGUAGGCGGAUUGUUUAGUUAGGCGUGAAAUUCCUGGGCUUAACCUGGGGACUGCGCUUAAUACAGGCAGUCUAGAGUGAGGAAGAGGGUUGUGGAAUUCCCAGUGUAGAGGUGAAAUUCGUAGAUAUUGGGAAGAACACCGGUGGCGAAGGCGGCAACCUGGUCCUUGACUGACGCUGAGGCGCGAAAGCGUGGGGAGCAAACAGGAUUAGAUACCCCGGUAGUCCCUGUCUCUUAUAC